Molecule: ribosomal RNA, 664 nt
Filed under: uncultured Candidatus Poseidoniales archaeon
Lineage: Archaea; Methanobacteriati; Thermoplasmatota; Candidatus Poseidoniia; Candidatus Poseidoniales
Description: bacterial SSU rRNA
Rfam family: Archaeal small subunit ribosomal RNA
Source: RNAcentral
UUCUGGUUGAUCCUGCCGGAGGCGACCGCUAUUGGAGUUCGAUUAAGCCAUGCGAGUCGAGAGUCUUAGGGACUCGGCGCACUGCUCAGUAACACGUGGAUAAUCUGACCUACGCUCGAGGAUAAUCUCGGGAAACUGAGUUCAAUACUCGAUAGAUCACAUGUCCUGGAAUGGCUUGUGGUUGAAAGGUAACGGCGUAGGAUGAGUCUGCGGCGUAUCAGGUCGUAGUGGGUGUAAUGGACCCACUAGCCCUCGACGCGUACGGGUUGUGAGAGCAAUUGCCCGGAGAUGGAUUCUGAGACACGAAUCCAGGCCCUACGGGGCGCAGCAGGCGCGAAAACUUCACACUGCAGGAAACUGUGAUGAGGGAACUCCAAGUGGCAGCACUAAGUGCUGUCUUUUCUGGACUCUUAAACGGUCUAGGAAGAAGGGCUGGGUAAGACCGGUGCCAGCCGCCGCGGUAAUACCGGCAGCUCAAGUGGUCGCCGCUUUUAUUGGGCCUAAAACGUCCGUAGCCGGCUUGGUAAACCCGUGGGUAAAUCAACCAGCUCAACUGGUUGAAUUCCGCGGAGACUGCCUGGCUUGGGACCGGGAGAGGCGUGAGGUACUCUCGGGGUAGGGGUAAAAUCCUGUCAUCCCGAGAGGACCACCUGUGGCGAAGGCG